ACGCUGGCGGCGUGCCUAAUACAUGCAAGUCGAGCGAACGGAUAAGGAGCUUGCUCCUUUGAAGUUAGCUGGCGGACGGGUGAGUAACACGUGGGUAACCUACCUAUAAGACUGGAAUAACUUCGGGAAACCGGAGCUAAUGCCGGAUAACAUUUGGAACCGCAUGGUUCUAAAGUAAAAGAUGGUUUUGCUAUCACUUAUAGAUGGACCCGCGCCGUAUUAGCUAGUUGGUAAGGUAACGGCUUACCAAGGCAACGAUACGUAGCCGACCUGAGAGGGUGAUCGGCCACACUGGAACUGAGACACGGUCCAGACUCCUACGGGAGGCAGCAGUAGGGAAUCUUCCGCAAUGGACGAAAGUCUGACGGAGCAACGCCGCGUGAGUGAUGAAGGUUUUCGGAUCGUAAAACUCUGUUAUUAGGGAAGAACAAAUGUGUAAGUAACUGUGCACAUCUUGACGGUACCUAAUCAGAAAGCCACGGCUAACUACGUGCCAGCAGCCGCGGUAAUACGUAGGUGGCAAGCGUUAUCCGGAAUUAUUGGGCGUAAAGCGCGCGUAGGCGGUUUCUUAAGUCUGAUGUGAAAGCCCACGGCUCAACCGUGGAGGGUCAUUGGAAACUGGGAAACUUGAGUACAGAAGAGGAAAGUGGAAUUCCAUGUGUAGCGGUGAAAUGCGCAGAGAUAUGGAGGAACACCAGUGGCGAAGGCGACUUUCUGGUCUGUAACUGACGCUGAUGUGCGAAAGCGUGGGGAUCAAACACGAUUAGAUACCCUGGGUAGUCCACGCCGUAAACGAUGAGUGCUAAGUUGUUAGGGGGCUUCCGCCCCUUAGUGCUGCAGCUAACGCAUUAAGGCACUCCGCCUGGGGAGUACGACCGCAAGGUUGAAACUCAGAGGGAAUUGAACGGGGACCCCGCACAAGGCGGGUGCAGCAUGUGGCUUUAGUACGAAGGCAACCCGAAGAAACGUUAACCGAAUUCUGGACAUCCCUUUGAAA
Molecule: ribosomal RNA, 997 nt
Filed under: Staphylococcus sp. GUVFPVM-8
Lineage: Bacteria; Bacillati; Bacillota; Bacilli; Caryophanales; Staphylococcaceae
Description: bacterial SSU rRNA
Rfam family: Bacterial small subunit ribosomal RNA
Source: RNAcentral